Canis lupus familiaris (dog) is the source of this 1406-nucleotide long non-coding RNA. RefSeq lists it as uncharacterized. Lineage: Eukaryota; Metazoa; Chordata; Mammalia; Carnivora; Canidae. The transcript is spliced from 3 exons. The record is from RefSeq and is a predicted model, not a curated record.
CACAGAGCUGCCCCGCGUGGGGGCGCAGGUGCCGAGCAGACCAGCGGAGAAGUCAGGUCCUGGGCUGAGUGCAAGCUUGACCUGCUGUCAGGAGUCCUGAGACAGCGGCUGGGGAAUGAGGGGUCCUGAAGGGGGACAUGGAGCCUCUUCGAGGCAGGGAGCUGCCCCCCUGGAGCCAGGCCCCCAAGGCUGAUGCCCUGAGCCAGCCUCUGCAGGAGCGACGUUUGCAAAACAUCUUGAAACAAAACAAUGAACCAUGAACAAUGGGUCACUGAUACAGAUGAAGGGGGUCAGCCUCCAGACGUCAGUCCAGAAGUCCAUCAACCCAGGAAGAGUCACCCGCCAGGGACACAGGUGAGUGAUCAAAGCCCUGAUGGGCACAGCUCAGUGGCCAGUCCACUGGGGGCCCCUCUCCAGAUGCUCCAGACAGUUCUGCAAGAGAGCUUCUAAAAACCCCUACAUUUGAAUGCCAAAAUGUCCCCUCCUCCUCUGGGAGCCUUGUACUAUGGCUCAAUAAACUGUGCCUUGCCACCCGCCACUCUUCGUCUGGUCUACAUCUUCACUCCAUGCGGCGCAACCAGGAACUGAGGCACUCGGGCACGAAGAGGACGGCACACACACAGCCCAAGGCCCCAGGACAGCCCAGACCCUAUGGCAUUGCCAUCUGCCACUGCCCGCUAGGUCCCCCAACACCCAUGGGAGCCUACCCCACUGUCACCGGCGAUCCCCCAACCUCGCGGCCUGGGCACACACCAGGCCGUCCGACUGCAGCGCUUCGGUCUCCAGGUAAAGUGGGUACACCAGGAAUAAUGCGCCCUUUCAGGUGAACACCGAUCCCCUGAGGGUACCCCUGGGAGGCCGAUGCACCAAAGGACCCCAACACCCACACACACACGCGGCCCAGCCAUGAGGGCCUGUGAUGUGCAUUCCAACAAAUCCUGCCCACGCGUCAUGUUUCCCUGCAUCCUGAAUAAUGUCAGGCAUUCUUCUGCCGGGGGCCUGGAGCAGGCUCUGGUCCUGGACUAACUUCUCCUUUCUGCUUAGUUCUCUUCUUCAUUGUGUGGGUUAUUAACAGCGUGUUUCACUUUUACAAGAAAACUGUGAUGGAGGGGGCACUGACCUUCACUACUGGUGAAGACCAGGUCGCUGGGCCAGCCCCAGGGGAACCCACGGCUUCUCCAGAAGGCAGCUCUGCCGGGCAGCCGGGACAAUUCCUGUCUGCUGCACACCCUGCUCUGCACCCUGCACGUGGGUCCCCUCCCUCCCUCCCUCUCCAGCCUCCAGCCCUGGACUGGGGGUGCAGCAAUGAUUCGGGCCCAGGGCCUGCCCGCAGAGGCCAACUCCAAGCCUCGCGCAUCGGUGCUCACGGCAGCUUUAUUCACGGCAACGAAAGGGUGGAUGCGGCC